Molecule: non-coding RNA, 962 nt
Filed under: Chlorophthalmus agassizi (shortnose greeneye)
Lineage: Eukaryota; Metazoa; Chordata; Actinopteri; Aulopiformes; Chlorophthalmidae
Description: 12S rRNA
Rfam family: Bacterial small subunit ribosomal RNA
Source: RNAcentral
CAAAAGCUUGGUCCUGGCUUUACUGUCAUGUUUAACCAGAUUUAUACAUGCAAGUUUCCGCACCCCUGUGAGGAUGCCCUCAAACUUUCCCAGCCGAAAACGAGGAGCAGGUAUCAGGCACGCACGCACGCAGCCCAAGACGCCUUGCUCAGCCACACCCCUAAGGGACCUCAGCAGUGAUAGACAUUAAGCAAUGAGUGAAAACUCGACUUAGUUACGGUUUAUACAGGGCCGGUUAAUCUCGUGCCAGCCACCGCGGUUAUACGGGCAGGCCCAAGUUGACAGAAUUCGGCGUAAAGAGUGGUUACGGAUACAAUUUACUAAAGUUAAACACCCCCCUUGCUGUAAUACGCGGCCGGGGGUAGGAGACCCCGCUACGAAAGUUGCUUUAAUAACCCUCCCGACCCCACCACAGCCAGGAAACAAACUGGGAUUAGAUACCCCACUAUGCCUGGCCAUAAACCUCGAUUUUGAUACAUACACACAUUAUCCGCCAGGGUACUACGAGCGCUAGCUUAAAACCCAAAGGACUUGGCGGUGUUUCAGAUCCACCUAGAGGAGCCUGUUCUAGAAUCGAUAGUCCCCGCUUAACCUCACCAUCCCUGGCUUCAAACCCCGCCUGUAUACCGCCGUCGUCAGCUUACCCCUUGAAGGAAUGAUAGUAAGCGAAACAGGUACCCCCUAUUACGGCAGGUCAAGGUGCAGCGCAUGAGAUGGAAAGAAAUGGGCUACAUUCUCUUCUUCACAGAGAACACGGAAGGUCCAAUGAAACUCACACCCUAAGGAGGAUUUAGCAGUAAGAAGAAAGAAAGAAAGUUCUUCUGAAGCCGGCUCUGGAACGCGCACACACCGCCCGUCACUCUCCCCAACUUCCGACCUUCUAAAUACAUAAAACCCCCGUUCCCCGCAGGGGAGGCAAGUCGUAACACGGUAAGUGUACCGGAAGGUGCACUUGGAUGAAU